RNAcentral lists this unclassified non-coding RNA (230 nucleotides) under Hevea brasiliensis (rubber tree). The record is from RNAcentral. Lineage: Eukaryota; Viridiplantae; Streptophyta; Magnoliopsida; Malpighiales; Euphorbiaceae.
GGCGAACUCGACGCCGAUGGUGGACUUGGACUCGAGGCAGAACUCGCUGCGGGUGAAGCGGGAGAGGAGAUUGGACUUGCCCACCCCCGAGUCUCCGAAACGGAAGCUGACGAAGGAGGAGCAGAAGGAGGAGAAGCGUGGCGCCGGCGAGGGGCGGAAGGGGGCGGCGGAGGAGAAGGCGUGGAUUUGGGCGGAGGAGGCCAUGACGGACCGGCGGGGUGAGGAUUGGG